This 450-nucleotide ribosomal RNA is filed under the name uncultured bacterium. RNAcentral describes it as "partial 16S ribosomal RNA". It matches the Rfam family "Bacterial small subunit ribosomal RNA", at positions 354 to 796 of the family's 1533-position model. The record is from RNAcentral.
GUGGGGAAUUUUGGACAAUGGGCGCAAGCCUGAUCCAGCAAUGCCGCGUGCAGGAAGAAGGCCUUCGGGUUGUAAACUGCUUUUGUACGGAACGAAACGGUCCGGGUUAAUACCCUGGGCUAAUGACGGUACCGUAAGAAUAAGCACCGGCUAACUACGUGCCAGCAGCCGCGGUAAUACGUAGGGUGCAAGCGUUAAUCGGAAUUACUGGGCGUAAAGCGUGCGCAGGCGGUUUUGUAAGACAGGCGUGAAAUCCCCGGGCUCAACCUGGGAAUUGCGCUUGGGACUGCAAGGCUGGAGUGCGGCAGAGGGGGAUGGAAUUCCGCGUGUAGCAGUGAAAUGCGUAGAUAUGCGGAGGAACACCGAUGGCGAAGGCAAUCCCCUGGGCCUGCACUGACGCUCAUGCACGAAAGCUAGGGCAGCGAACGGGAUUAGAAACCCCAGUAGUCC